GUACACAAAAAUGCACAUACUGUGAGCUCGAUGAGUAGGGCGGGACACGUGGUAUCCUGUCUGAAUAUGGGGGGACCAUCCUCCAAGGCUAAAUACUCCUGACUGACCGAUAGUGAACCAGUACCGUGAGGGAAAGGCGAAAAGAACCCCGGCGAGGGGAGUGAAAAAGAACCUGAAACCGUGUACGUACAAGCAGUGGGAGCCUCUUAAUGGGGUGACUGCGUACCUUUUGUAUAAUGGGUCAGCGACUUAUAUUCUGUAGCAAGGUUAACCGAAUAGGGGAGCCGAAGGGAAACCGAGUCUUAACUGGGCGUUAAGUUGCAGGGUAUAGACCCGAAACCCGGUGAUCUAGCCAUGGGCAGGUUGAAGGUUGGGUAACACUAACUGGAGGACCGAACCGACUAAUGUUGAAAAAUUAGCGGAUGACUUGUGGCUGGGGGUGAAAGGCCAAUCAAACCGGGAGAUAGCUGGUUCUCCCCGAAAGCUAUUUAGGUAGCGCCUCGUGAAUUCAUCUCCGGGGGUAGAGCACUGUUUCGGCAAGGGGGUCAUCCCGACUUACCAACCCGAUGCAAACUGCGAAUACCGGAGAAUGUUAUCACGGGAGACACACGGCGGGUGCUAACGUCCGU
This 629-nucleotide ribosomal RNA is filed under the name Escherichia coli. RNAcentral's name for it is "partial 23S ribosomal RNA". It matches the Rfam family "Bacterial large subunit ribosomal RNA", at positions 375 to 1008 of the family's 2925-position model. Lineage: Bacteria; Pseudomonadati; Pseudomonadota; Gammaproteobacteria; Enterobacterales; Enterobacteriaceae. The record is from RNAcentral. RNAcentral also lists the same sequence under 1 other name.